This 471-nucleotide ribosomal RNA is filed under the name uncultured bacterium. RNAcentral describes it as "partial 16S ribosomal RNA". It matches the Rfam family "Bacterial small subunit ribosomal RNA", at positions 355 to 817 of the family's 1533-position model. The record is from RNAcentral.
UGGGGAAUUUUGGACAAUGGGCGCAAGCCUGAUCCAGCCAUGCCGCGUGCGGGAAGAAGGCCUUCGGGUUGUAAACCGCUUUUGUCAGGGAAGAAAUCUUCUGAGUUAAUACCUCGGGAGGAUGACGGUACCUGAAGAAUAAGCACCGGCUAACUACGUGCCAGCAGCCGCGGUAAUACGUAGGGUGCAAGCGUUAAUCGGAAUUACUGGGCGUAAAGCGUGCGCAGGCGGUUUUGUAAGACAGAGGUGAAAUCCCCGGGCUCAACCUGGGAACUGCCUUUGUGACUGCAAGGCUUGAGUGCGGCAGAGGGGGGCAUGGAAUUCCGCGUGUAGCAGUGAAAUGCGUAGAUAUGCGGAGGAACACCGAUGGCGAAGGCAAUCCCCUGGGCCUGCACUGACGCUCAUGCACGAAGCGUGGGGAGCAAACAGGAUUAGAUACCCUGGUAGUCCACGCCCUAAACGAUGUCAACU